UUGAAGAAAGGUCAGAAGCUCAAUGG
This 26-nucleotide non-coding RNA is filed under the name Mus musculus (house mouse). Lineage: Eukaryota; Metazoa; Chordata; Mammalia; Rodentia; Muridae. The record is from RNAcentral. RNAcentral also lists the same sequence under 1 other name.